Molecule: unclassified non-coding RNA, 1083 nt
Filed under: Zea mays
Lineage: Eukaryota; Viridiplantae; Streptophyta; Magnoliopsida; Poales; Poaceae
Description: misc RNA Zm00001eb364270
Source: RNAcentral
CUGCCGCGGCGCUAUCAUCCAUCCAUUUUCUUCGGCGUUCGUUCCCAGCCACGAGCCCACGAUCGUCCUCCUCGCCUCGGCGCCACCGCCGCAUCCAAUUGCCUCGGCGCUGUUCUCUCAUCCAUCCACCUCGGCAUCGUCACCCAUCCAUCCACCUCGGCGUCUGCUCGUCGCUGCCUAGUUGUGAUCAAGAUGCCCCCUGGAAGGAUGGCUGGGGCAAGGACACGCACGGACAUUGGUGAAGAACCAAUUACUGAGUAUGAAAAGGAGAGGGCUUUAAAGGUAAUGAGGAACAACAAAAUGUUGAGCAGCCUUGGUAUAACUGGAUUUACAUCACUUAUUCGAUCAAGUAAUACAAGGAAGAACUCUAUCGCUCAAGAAGACUUUGAUCCAUUGUAUGAACCUGAUCAUAGUGAGGACAAUGGUCAUCAUGUGUCUGAUAAGGCCAUGCAGGAUGUACCUUACAACUGUGAAAGGAGGAACACCAACAUGUCUACUGGUUCUGGAGGAACAAAAGGAUCCAAGAGAGUGAUAGCACCUAAUGCAGAAGACCAAGUUGGUAGAGUAACUAGGCAAAAGACAAAGGAACAAUCCUCAGUAGAGAAAGAUGUACGUGGUUCGACUACAAAUACAGAAGAGCAGGCAUUGAUAUCUGCCAAUUGUCCUGCACAACAUGAUGAUGAGAUUCAGAUCUGUGAUGAAGGCAAGAAAAUGGGUCAAUUUGCCGUCGACACCAAAAACAAAGAUGUCAGAUUUGCAUGUGCUGAUGUGAUGAGGUGUGUGCAACGACAAAUGAGAUAUAAGCUCAAGAAAGCUUACUUUAAUGGUGUGGCUGCUGACAAAGUGAGAACAACAUCACCAUUGAGUACUAUGACAGAUGAUCAAUGGAUGCAACUAGUGAAUAUGUGGUCUACCCCAAAGCACAAGGACACAAUGGAAUCACUUGUGGGUGGACAUGGAGUAGAAGGGAAAGAAUCCAAGACCCCUCUAGAAGCAGUUGCUUAUGUGUUGGCUUCAUCAAAAUUUCUUCAAAAUAUUGGUCUUGUACCUGCCACAAAGAAAAGCGGCAAUGCAUGGUGGUGA